This 1499-nucleotide long non-coding RNA is filed under the name Triticum aestivum (bread wheat). RNAcentral describes it as "long non-coding RNA (TAES_LNC017379)". Lineage: Eukaryota; Viridiplantae; Streptophyta; Magnoliopsida; Poales; Poaceae. The record is from RNAcentral.
CACUUCAUAAAUCUGCUUUCUGUUGAAAUCUAAAAAGUUCAAAAAAUACAUAUGGAUGCAUACUAUUUGGCUGUAAGGUUUGAUGAUGGAAUACCUUUUGAUGUGAGACACACUCAAGGAAGAAAGUCAUAUAUUUCAAGCGAAACAAAUAAGCCAAAGCAAUACUGUUCCCUCAUAGGCUCAAAAAUUGUCUUAUACUGGUUACAAUGGAUCUAAUACAACUAAUGACAUAACAAAGACCAUACAUGAUCACAACUAAUCAAGUUUAAUAGAGAGCAUAUAACACCAAGCAGGACUGUUGAUGAGUUGGGGUGUUGCACUGAAUUCCAUCUUUAUCUAUUUUAUCCCUAUAGAUCAUUGAAUGUAGCUUAAAAUACAAGGUACAUGAGCAAUCCUUAGAGGCUUAAUGAUGUAGUCCUCAUCUCCCCCAUGCAAGCACCUAAAUAGAAAAUGGAUUUUAGUUUGUAUACCUAUAUAGCAAAUAAUUAACUAAUGCAAUACUUGAUAGUUUUUUGUUUACCCACUCCAUAAUUAUUUGAAGGAUGACAUCAGUGCAUGUAAUCACUACUCACUACUGGAAUGUUCUUCGGCUUAUGAGAUUCCCAAGUUCAUAAAUACAGAGUUGGUUAUUACUUUGUAAUGAAUCACAAUAUUUACAUGCACUUGAGUAAAUAUAGAGCAAAAAAACCACAAUUAUGCUAAGAUGAAGAUUAGAAAGGUCCCAAAAAGUACAUACCUUCACUUCUCUAAGAAAAUUAUAGCCAGUCAUAUAUGGCAGGCAGUAUUCAGUGAAAAUCAAGUCUACAUCAUGUUUCUAUAUCCAAAGUUCAUGAUGUGGAAUAUGUCAAAGAUAGUAAGCAACAAAAGUACUUCAAGAAGCCUAUAUGUUCUAUAGUAAACAAUAUCAAAAUAUUGCAUCCAAGAAUUCCAAGGCUUGCAUGGGACCUUCUAGAGAAGUCACUAAAGUUGAAAAUAAUUAGGCGCAUGUAAAGAAGUUUGGAGCAGAGGAAAAUAACGUAACUUCUUAUGAUAUUUUGUAUUCUAUAUAUAGCUAUUUAAUAUCAUGUUCCUCUUAUUGUAUAGCUCAAGGUGUUCCUGAUAAACAUAUAAUAUACUCCCUUUCUCCUAUAAUAUAAGAACAUUUUCUAAACUGUUUAAGCUUGAAAAAUGUCCUCAUAUUAUGGGACGGAGGGAGUAAGUGUUUGUAUCAUAUCCAAGGUAUACCUGUAUCAACAUUCUCUAUUGGCAAGAAAAUUGUGUAUAUAAAACUUUAGGAAAAUAAAUCAUAGGGUGUUGCACAAUGAUUCUUACAAUUCAUAAGAACCACAAUACCUUGAAUGAGAAAUAUCUUAGGACUCUCGAUGCAACAAGGCCAUCAACAUGGGAAUCAUCCAUGACGAGAACAUGGGGACUUUCAAUGCCAUCAUGCUAAACAUAAAAGUUCUAUAUGUUACUAAACUUCGACGUAGGGUGGUUUGUCCCCUAGCAAAAGAUAUAGG